RNAcentral lists this ribosomal RNA (320 nucleotides) under Escherichia coli. Its description in RNAcentral is "bacterial SSU rRNA". It matches the Rfam family "Bacterial small subunit ribosomal RNA", at positions 1 to 317 of the family's 1533-position model. Lineage: Bacteria; Pseudomonadati; Pseudomonadota; Gammaproteobacteria; Enterobacterales; Enterobacteriaceae. The record is from RNAcentral.
AAAUUGAAGAGUUUGAUCAUGGCUCAGAUUGAACGCUGGCGGCAGGCCUAACACAUGCAAGUCGAACGGUAACAGGAAUCAGCUUGCUGAUUCGCUGACGAGUGGCGGACGGGUGAGUAAUGUCUGGGAAACUGCCUGAUGGAGGGGGAUAACUACUGGAAACGGUAGCUAAUACCGCAUAAUGUCGCAAGACCAAAGAGGGGGACCUUCGGGCCUCUUGCCAUCGGAUGUGCCCAGAUGGGAUUAGCUAGUAGGUGGGGUAACGGCUCACCUAGGCGACGAUCCCUAGCUGGUCUGAGAGGAUGACCAGCCACACUGGA